This 440-nucleotide ribosomal RNA is filed under the name uncultured bacterium. RNAcentral's name for it is "bacterial SSU rRNA". It matches the Rfam family "Bacterial small subunit ribosomal RNA", at positions 338 to 795 of the family's 1533-position model. The record is from RNAcentral.
CCUACGGGUGGCAGCAGUUAGGAAUUUUGGGCAAUGGGCGAAAGCCUGACCCAGCAACGCCGCGUGGGUGAAGAAGGCCUUCGGGUUGUAAAGCCCUUUUCUGGGGGAAGAUGAUGACGGUACCCCAGGAAUAAGCACCGGCUAACUACGUGCCAGCAGCCGCGGUAAUACGUAGGGUGCGAGCGUUGCCCGGAUUUAUUGGGCGUAAAGGGCGUGUAGGCGGCCCGACACGUCACGCGUGAAAUCUCCCGGCUCAACUGGGAGGGGUCGCGUGAUACGGUCGGGCUUGAGCAAGGUAGGGGGAAGUGGAAUUCCCGGUGUAGUGGUGGAAUGCGUAGAUAUCGGGAGGAACACCAGUGGCGAAGGCGGCUUCCUGGACCUUUGCUGACGCUGAGGCGCGAAAGCGUGGGUAGCGAUCCGGAUUAGAUACCCUUGUAGUC